CUUUAUAGAUAAUAGUGGCAAACGGGUGAGUAACGCGUGGGAAUGUACCCUUUAGUUUGGGAUAACGUUUGGAAACGAACGCUAAUACCAAAUAUUCCAGAGAUGGGAAAGAUUUAUCGCUAAAGGAGCGGCCCGCGUUAGAUUAUGGUAGUUGGUGGGGUAAUGGCCUACCAAGCCUAUGAUCUAUAGCUGGUCUGAGAGGACGACCAGCCACACUGGGACUGAGACACGGCCCAGACUUC
RNAcentral lists this ribosomal RNA (242 nucleotides) under uncultured bacterium. RNAcentral describes it as "partial 16S ribosomal RNA". It matches the Rfam family "Bacterial small subunit ribosomal RNA", at positions 77 to 339 of the family's 1533-position model. The record is from RNAcentral.